GCAGAUGUAGAGGCCAUAGCUCGCACAACUCGCUAUGCAAAUGAUUUGCCUUAUCAUGAAGUGCAAUGUGCUUUGUCUGACGCAGUCCGUGAAAAGUACCCAACCCCUAACACAGGUGCUAUACCUAAAAUAAUUUGGGACCCCCAAAACACACCUAGAGAGUUUUUAGAAAAAGCCAGAGAUCAGUGGUUGUUAGAAACAGGUACCCAUCCGGGUAGGGAAGGUGAGCAUCGGGCAUGGUUUCGCUCAGCGGUGCUGGCAGGGCUGCCAAAUCAGGUCAUAGAAGAUCUACAGAAAAACCCAGAUUUUGCCGUAGCAGAUUCGGUGCAGUGGGAAAGACACGUCUCACAUCGUUUGCAGCUGGAGCAGGACAGGGCGAACAAGCAGAAAAAAGAGUUGGAGGAGGCACAAGCGUCUCUGCUCAAACUACAGUUGGCGGAGGCCAGAAACAAAGCCUGCGAAAAGAAAAAAGAGGAAAAAGAAAAAACAGAAAAAAUGAUGAUAGUUGCGACCCAGCCUGGUCCUGGGCCUGAAUGGCCAGAUAGUGGCCCGGGUCCCUGCACUAAUGAUGGAUGGCCCGCCAAUGCACCAAGGCAGAACCAACCCACAGGGAAUUGGGGAACCGGUGGAUCGUACAGAGGGCGUGGUGGCUCAGCGGAGGGAGUACUAAGAGCUCGUAACACGGGGAAUCUCAGCAGUGUGCCUUGGAAUGUCUGUUGGAAUUGUGGAGCAGAGGCAGACUUUGAAACACAACUAUGUGGUGUCAUCGCAAGCGCCAGUAAAUCUCAUGGGCAGGGACCUGCUCGUGAAGUUGGGCGCCACAAUCACAUGUUCAGCAGAUGGAUUAUCUGUGACUCUGCCAGGGGGCCAGCAUUUUCCGUGCCUGGGAACAAAUUCAAAGACUCAAUAUCUGCUUCAAGACUGUGAAAGAGCAAAAGCCGACAUCUACUGGGGGAGACUAGUGAAAGAGGAUGUUCUGAGGCAAUUUCAGCUGUGGAGACCCUGGAUAAUGAGCUUGGCAGUUUACUUCCCUCCGC
Molecule: long non-coding RNA, 1037 nt
Organism: Astatotilapia calliptera (eastern happy)
Lineage: Eukaryota; Metazoa; Chordata; Actinopteri; Cichliformes; Cichlidae
Source: Ensembl